This 508-nucleotide ribosomal RNA is filed under the name uncultured bacterium. Its description in RNAcentral is "partial 16S ribosomal RNA". It matches the Rfam family "Bacterial small subunit ribosomal RNA", at positions 30 to 523 of the family's 1533-position model. The record is from RNAcentral.
AUUGAACGCUGGCGGCAUGCCUUACACAUGCAAGUCGAACGGCAGCGGGGGAGAAGCUUGCUUUUCCUGCCGGCGAGUGGCGAACGGGUGAGUAAUACAUCGGAACGUGCCCUGUAGUGGGGGAUAACUAGUCGAAAGAUUAGCUAAUACCGCAUACGACCUGAGGGUGAAAGUGGGGGACCGCAAGGCCUCAUGCUAUAGGAGCGGCCGAUGUCUGAUUAGCUAGUUGGUGGGGUAAAGGCCUACCAAGGCGACGAUCAGUAGCUGGUCUGAGAGGAAGAUCGGCAACACUGGGCGGGAGACACGGCGCAGACUCCUAAGGGAGGCAGCAGUGGGGAAUUCUGGACAAUGGGCGAAAGCCUGAUCCAGCCAUUCCGCGUGCAGGAUGAAGGCCUUCGGGUUGUAAACUGCUUUUGUACAGAACGAAAAGGUUUUUUCUAAUAAAGAGAGCCCAUGACGGUACUGUAAGAAUAAGCACCGGCAAACUACGUGCCAGCCGACGCCGUAA